This 366-nucleotide ribosomal RNA is filed under the name uncultured bacterium. RNAcentral describes it as "bacterial SSU rRNA". It matches the Rfam family "Bacterial small subunit ribosomal RNA", at positions 28 to 394 of the family's 1533-position model. The record is from RNAcentral.
GACGAACGCUGGCGGCGUGCUUAACACAUGCAAGUCGAGCGGUAAGGCCCUUUCGGGGGUACGACGAGCGGCGAACGGGUGAGUAACACGUGGGUGACCUGCCCUCAGCUCUGGGAUAAGCCUGGGAAACCGGGUCUAAUACCGGAUAUGACUCCAUGACGCAUGUUGUGGGGUGGAAAGCCUUGUGCGGCUGAGGAUGGGCCCGCGGCCUAUCAGCUUGUUGGUGGGGUGAUGGCCUACCAAGGCGACGACGGGUAGCCGGCCUGAGAGGGCGACCGGCCACACUGGGACUGAGACACGGCCCAGACUCCUACGGGAGGCAGCAGUGGGGAAUCUUGCGCAAUGGGCGAAAGCCUGACGCAGCGA